Molecule: long non-coding RNA, 651 nt
Filed under: Marmota monax (woodchuck)
Lineage: Eukaryota; Metazoa; Chordata; Mammalia; Rodentia; Sciuridae
Source: RNAcentral
AGGCCAGGUCUUGGGACAAUAGCCCCCAAGCGGUUUACCCACACCUAGGUACAGACGACUUCCUAUACCUGGCUGUUUGAGGUUGAUCCCUAGCUAUGGGCAAGGCAGUUUUUCUCUUGAGAGGUGAGCACAAUGGUGUCUUUAGAAAGUGAUAUGGAAUAUUAGAAGAUGAAUAUUGACCAGACAGGACAUUUUAGAGAUCAUCUAUAUGAUAACCGCAGUGUAUGGGUUAAUCACUGAGAGUUUCUUAGUCCUAGAAUAAUUUUUGUAUUCUAUAAGUUGUGGUUUUGAUUAAGUCAAUAGUUUUUCAAUUAGAUGAAUUUAGGGCAGGAGGUAACCUUAGGACUUCUCUUUGCUAGGCUCAUUGGAGCACGUGAGGAGCAGAUUUGACAGACCAGAUAGUAAUGUUGCCAGAGCCCUGUCCAAUUUUGUAUCAGUGCCUCUGGCCCCGGCUAAUUCAGGGACCAAGAUCAGUCUUAGUUGAUGGCAGGCUUUAUUCUCAAAGAAGAAUGAUAUAUUUUGUUCUCAAGAGAAAUGUCAUCCCCUGGAUAAAGGCAGGUUGUGAAUACAGGGAGAUUAAUGUUUUCAGAAGAGUUUUACUGUUUGAUUAUUGUGAUGCAAUAGCUGAAUGACAUUUAUGGUUUAAAAAGA